Molecule: long non-coding RNA, 1645 nt
Filed under: Marmota monax (woodchuck)
Lineage: Eukaryota; Metazoa; Chordata; Mammalia; Rodentia; Sciuridae
Source: RNAcentral
CAGUGAUGGACACAAGGCUCCUGACAUGCUCAGAGGAACAGCCCAGAUAUGUGGUGUGUGAGGUUCCUGUAACAAAGAAGCAUCCACUGGGUGAAUUCAAAAAGAAAACUUUGAUUCAGAGUCUAGGGGUUACACAGUGGUAGAGUGUGUGCUUAGCAUGCUCAAGGCCUUGUGUUGGAUCAGAAGGGAGAAAGGGAUUCAGUUCUGAAGACUAAAUCAUAUUCCCUUUGUGAGUGCAGAAGGGCACCUUUCCUUGCUCUUCCAGCCUCUGGUUGCUAUCUGGGAUUAUAGGAAUCAAGGACACACCACUCCCAUCUGUUUCUGUGGUCAUAUCACCUUUCUUCUGUCUCUGAAAUCUCCCUGUCUCCUUCUUGUAAGGAUGAUUGGAUUGGGGCCCAGCUGGGUAACCCAGGUUGACUUCAUCUCAGGAUCCUUACUCAUAUCCAUAAAGACCCAUAUUCCAAAUAAGGAAUGUUCACUCACACAUUCAACACUCUGACACGAUCAUCUGUAGGGACUCACCACCCAACCCUCUACACAGGGCAGUACCCUGACAAGCAGCACAUAUACUGUGGCACCCACUCAUCAACCAGAUACAUAGCAGGAACAGGAACACAGAUGUAACCCACAAAUGCAAUGACAUAGCCAGACAUGCACUGUGUGCUCCAACACACAAACACACUGUGUAUUUGGCCAGACACAGUGAUAUGCACAGAGAUAUUUAACAACACCCCCACAUACAUACAAUUACCCAAACAUACAAGUACUCUUGCAUAACAAUGACCCCCUAACAUACAGAAACAAGAGAGCACAGCCCCAAUACAAACCAAAUUAUAUAACACCCCGACAUCUAGAUACACAUGAAAAACUGUUGGUCCUCACAUCCUGCAUGCAGGUACUCACACAUGAACAUGCCACAGCCUGGACAACAUGCUAAGAUUCAGAUACAUACCUACCAUGCAUCUGACAUCAAGGUGCCUGGAUACUGAAACUGACACUCAGAUAUAGCACUGAUCUUGCCUGGCACAGAACUCACAGAUAUGCCAUGACAGUGAUUUUCAAGAUGGAUGCUUCCUGACACAUUUGAUCACUUGGACACACCUGUGAACGCUGACACAUCCCAUUUGUACAGGAGAGCUGACAGCCUUGUACACACCUCAAGAAACACACACUGACCCCUCCCAGCAUCCUGCCCCUAGGGUGUGGAUGCUCAAGGAGGGCUUUGAGCAACUCUUUCCUUUUCCUCCUAUGGUAACUUGGGCUGGGGCAGCACCCUGGUCUCUCUGGCUCAGAUUUCCAAGGGGAGGACUGACUGGCUGACCUUUUCACAUAGGGCUCAGCACUUUGCCUCUGCCUCCAGACCAGUGUUCUGUGCAGGUCUCAGGCAAAGCAGAUAUCAAGGUCCCUUGAAAAGAGGUGGACAUCAAAUCUGCUGACAGCUCCUCUGCCCUGCCCCAGAGCAGUGCAGGACAGCCUGCUCCAGGGGGAGCAGGGCAGAGGGUGCUGGGCAAAAAGGAGGCCCCAGGGAAGGAGAUCUAUCUUGUAACUCUGUACCCCAACUAACAAUUUCCAGCCCACACUAGUUUUGUGGAAUUCAAAGUGCUUGUGGAAUGUAAAAAGGGGGCAUUAAAAACUUUUAGAAGUC